GUACAAGCAGUGGGAGCCCUAUCACUAAGCAAAGUGAUAGAAAAAGGCACUGAGUCUUUUGUUUAACGUGCGGUUGGCGGAACGUAGUGACGCCCAACCCCAAAAAUAAACAGAGGGUGCUUAGUGAUAGGGUGACUGCGUACCUUUUGUAUAAUGGGUCAGCGACUUAUAUUAUGUAGCGAGGUUAACCGAAUAGGGGAGCCGAAGGGAAACCGAGUCUUAACUGGGCGACUAGUUGCAUGAUAUAGACCCGAAACCCGGUGAUCUAGCCAUGGGCAGGUUGAAGGUUGGGUAACACUAACUGGAGGACCGAACCGACUACUGUUGAAAAAGUAGCGGAUGACUUGUGGCUGGGGGUGAAAGGCCAAUCAAACCGGGAGAUAGCUGGUUCUCCCCGAAAUCUAUUUAGGUAGAGCCUUAGAUGAAUACCUUCGGGGGUAGAGCACUGUUUCGGCUAGGGGGUCAUCCCGACUUACCAACCCGAUGCAAACUGCGAAUACCGAAGAGUAAUGUCUAGGAGACACACGGCGG
Molecule: ribosomal RNA, 531 nt
Filed under: Testudinibacter crocodili
Lineage: Bacteria; Pseudomonadati; Pseudomonadota; Gammaproteobacteria; Pasteurellales; Pasteurellaceae
Description: Pasteurellaceae bacterium BK121 partial 23S ribosomal RNA
Rfam family: Bacterial large subunit ribosomal RNA
Source: RNAcentral